CUAUGCGCAGGGACCGGGAAGGGCCGGACCACAAGGGUCUAUUGUACGUAGUCCUCUUACCUUACAUUUCUGUGCUGUUUCCACGGCUCGAACCCAUGACCUCCUGAUCGCAUGGCAAUAACUUUACCGGUUAUGCCAAGGCUCUGCUUCUAAAUAUGUCUAUAUACAGUGUGUAGCUUUGAUAUCAUCUGAACAGAUUUUGUGUCUGAUCAAGUCACUGCCAAACACAAUUAUAUCAAAUCUGCUUGAUUCUAUAGUUUGGUUCUACGGCACAAUGUCUGUGAUAUAAUCUGCUAACACUUUUCUGUUUUCUUUGCAGAAAUCUGAGCAUAUGGUGUCAAGGUUAAUGCGAAAGGAAUAAGCGUAGUUAGUAUAAGCAGUUCGUGUCAAGCUGUUGAUUUUUUCAACAAUAAAGAUUGAUCAUGUGCUUAUACUGAACUUCUUUUCUUAUCUUGGCUGAACAAUGGUCACUCGUGUUAGUCGAGUUUUGAAUUGGCAAAUGCAAAUAUAUGGUAUUUAUAUGUAUGUAUUUGAGUUUCCAGGAUUUGAUAACUUUCAUAUAUAUGUGUUUGGGUUGCCAGAUAUUAUGUUCUACAUGUAUGUGUGUUUAAUGAAUGAAAACUCAAUGCACUGUUUUUGUGUGCAUAGCUGAAUAACGUCUUGUGAAGUGCACAAAUAGCCAUUUUCAGGAACGCUAUUUAAGGAUUAGUCAAUACUUAUUUGUUCUGAAAUUUUAAACUAGAAAUCUUAGCUUCAGGACUACUCAUGACAUAUUUGUCCUUUAGAGUGGUUACCUGAUGUCAUUUCUACAAGCA
RNAcentral lists this long non-coding RNA (815 nucleotides) under Nicotiana benthamiana. RNAcentral describes it as "long non-coding RNA (NBEN_LNC002529)". Lineage: Eukaryota; Viridiplantae; Streptophyta; Magnoliopsida; Solanales; Solanaceae. The record is from RNAcentral.